This 418-nucleotide ribosomal RNA is filed under the name Campylobacter sp. oral taxon 044. RNAcentral's name for it is "bacterial SSU rRNA". It matches the Rfam family "Bacterial small subunit ribosomal RNA", at positions 29 to 446 of the family's 1533-position model. The record is from RNAcentral. Lineage: Bacteria; Pseudomonadati; Campylobacterota; Epsilonproteobacteria; Campylobacterales; Campylobacteraceae.
AGUGAACGCUGGCGGCGUGCCUAAUACAUGCAAGUCGAACGGAGAUUAAAUAGCUUGCUAUUUAAUCUUAGUGGCGCACGGGUGAGUAAUGUAUAGUUAAUCUGCCCCAUAGUGGAGGACAACAGUUAGAAAUGACUGCUAAUACUCCAUACUCCCUCUUAUCAUAAGUUAAGUCGGGAAAGUUUUUCGCUAUGGGAUGAGACUAUAUCGUAUCAGUUAGUUGGUAAGGUAAUGGCUUACCAAGGCUAUGACGCGUAACUGGUCUGAGAGGAUGAUCAGUCACAUUGGAACUGAGACACGGUCCAAACUCCUACGGGAGGCAGCAGUAGGGAAUAUUGCGCAAUGGGGGAAACCCUGACGCAGCAACGCCGCGUGGAGGAUGACACUUUUCGGAGCGUAAACUCCUUUUGUUAGGGAA